This 378-nucleotide unclassified non-coding RNA is filed under the name plant metagenome. RNAcentral describes it as "partial contains 5.8S ribosomal RNA, internal transcribed spacer 2, and large subunit ribosomal RNA". The stretch from base 1 to 105 matches the Rfam family "5.8S ribosomal RNA", at positions 50 to 154 of the family's 154-position model. The record is from RNAcentral.
GAAAUGCGAUAAGUAAUGUGAAUUGCAGAAUUCAGUGAAUCAUCGAACCUUUGAACGCACCUUGCGCUCCUUGGUAUUCCUUGGAGCAUGCCUGUUUGAGUAUCAUGAAAUCUUCAAAGUAAAUCUUUUGUUAACUCAAUUGGUUUCUACUUUGGUAUUGGAGGUCUUUGCAGCUUCACACCUGCUCCUCUUUGUUCAUUAGCUGGAUCUCAGUGUUAUGCUUGGUUCCACUCGGCGUGAUAAGUUAUCUAUCGCUGAGGACACUGUAAAAGGUGGCCAAGGUAAAUGCAGAUGAACCGCUUCUAAUAGUCCAUUGACUUGGACAAUACUUUUAUGACCUGAUCUCAAAUCAGGUAGGACUACCCGCUGAACUUAAGC